AUGCGGGACAUACAAGCUGAGGUUGGUUCUCAGAACUCCUUGACUCAGAGAAAAGCAAGGUUAUAUUGGAAUUAUGCUUCAAAGAUUGAAAUCAGUCCUCUUCUGUUUUAUGAAUGGAUUGCAAAAUGUCAGUGGCAAAGGCUUCCUCUUUGUUCCUCCAUCACCAUAUUAUGGCCAGGAUUGAACUGUCAUUUGAUUAACUUCAGUGGAAUAGGUUGGGAACUCAAUAAUGGAUGGUGACAAGGCUUUGAGGAAAGGCAAAUGUGAUACUGAAUUAAUAAAAUUACCUUUUUGUCAUGGUAUAAACA
This 308-nucleotide long non-coding RNA is filed under the name Felis catus (domestic cat). RNAcentral's name for it is "lncRNA (ENSFCAG00000052678.1)". Lineage: Eukaryota; Metazoa; Chordata; Mammalia; Carnivora; Felidae. The record is from RNAcentral.